This 21-nucleotide non-coding RNA is filed under the name Caenorhabditis elegans. Lineage: Eukaryota; Metazoa; Nematoda; Chromadorea; Rhabditida; Rhabditidae. The record is from RNAcentral.
UGGGGUAUGGGAAUCAUAUGU